Molecule: long non-coding RNA, 2720 nt
Filed under: Homo sapiens (human)
Lineage: Eukaryota; Metazoa; Chordata; Mammalia; Primates; Hominidae
Description: HSALNT0325684
Source: RNAcentral
GUGGAUUUGGGUGAGAACAAAUCAGGAUAGGCCUUAGAAGAGAGAAUAAUCAAGGUGUCAUCGAAGUCUAACAACAAUAACAACAAAAACACAGGCCCAUUAUGGCAAUCCAACAGCAGAAUGGGAGGAUAAAAUAAUCAGAACUAGAGAAAGAAGAAAGAGAAAAGUGGAUUCUCAACUAGAAGCAAAAACAUCCACUGAAGUUUGUGAGAGUGCAAUAGGCAGUGCCACAGAUCUUUCUGAGGAAGUACUACCAUAUGACUUCACCUUCUCAGGCUGAGGUAUCAGCUUGACUGUCACUCCACAGAUCAAGACUAGAGGUAAAUGUAAACACUAUACAGGUGGGAUGAGAAACAGCUGUUCAGCUGCCUGGCUAGAAGAACAGGCCCAGUUCUUUGCUACAGGAUGGACAUGGAAAAGUUCAGGCAUUUGAAGUUACUGGCGUCAGCCACAUGAGAUUGAUGACGGGAUUGGCUUCUACAAGAGGUCCAUGUGGUUCUCAUUUCUGAAAACAGAUGUUUGGAAACCAAUGUUUUCAAAGAUAAUAUGAAACUACACCAAUAUGCUGCACUAUGGAGAAAAACUAACCUUGACAGAAGAAAAAAGAUUUUCUUGAGGCAGAAGAUGAAGGACUAUUGGUCGGGACAUUCACAGAAGUCUGUUCUGUAAGUUGGGUUAUAUGGAAGCAGAGAUGCUAGGUCAACCCAUGUUGUGCCCUCCCUCUUUUGGUAAGCAAAACACUGAUGCUUAUGACAUCUUCCUUUUCUUUGGUGGUGGCCUUGAAAAUUGUUAUUCCUUCCAGAAAGGGCUGGAUGUCACUCGCUUAUGAAUUUGAAUCCUUCUCUUUUUGCCAAAUGAUAGAACUGAGCUUGCUCCAUGAGCUUCAUGUGUGUAAACAUUAGUGGGGAUCCAAGUGGCUCUGCAGGUAGAAUAGACACUCAGGUCCCUCCUGCCCAAGUCCAGGGGCUUGCUUCCAUGAAUCCAAUCCUUUAGUUCAUAUCAGUUCAUGGUGUACCAGAAGCCUCAACACAUCUGCAAAUUUUUACAGAACAUGUUUGUGCAAGGAAAUAAAUUAGGUCACCAGGCCUUCAAAGGCUCCUUCCACUUAGGGGUGGUGGAGCCCAUGAAGCUGAGAAUCACCCUUGCCAGCUGUUGGAACUUGAAAUAAUCCUCCAAAAACCUCUUGCUAUUUUAGGAGGGUCAUCCUGGUGGGUCUGUGUAUGCUGUAAAAGAGUGGCUCACUAUUUAACCACCCAUCUCUACUGUGCUGAUUUAGGGACCACGAUCACUUGAGCUUUUCUUGGUGCCUGGGAUCUGUCUUUCUGCACAGGGAUAAUCUAGGCUUAUUUGUGGCUUUUUUCCCCUGCAUUUCCUUUACUUGCUCACUUUCCUUCUUUUCCUCACUAUGUUUCCAUUUGAAAUCAGUUUUCACAUAUGCAUUUCAGUGCAACUCUACCUUCAGGAACUUACUGGAUUACACAGGAAAUUCCUUAUAGUGUGUGACCAUCUGCACUGCAAACAAUUUUCAGGGAAUUGACUAGCUACUAAUACCACUUACAAAAAAUCUAAUAAGGGGUUUAACAUUUUCAUAAGGAAAAUUAAUAUUUAUAUUUUCUGUUUUGGUUGGGUUACAUUUUUACUAUUUUGAGAAAAAAAGUAUUGCAUUUUUAAAAAGUGAACAAAAAAAGCUCUCAUACAAUUGAAUGGUAUUGCCAAAAGAAAUUAAGAAGUCAGAAUUUGAUGAUUCAAUAUAUUAUAAAUAUAUUUUUGACCAUAGUCCUAAACUAUCAUCUGUCAAGUUGUAUUAUUUUGAGUACAUAAGUAUUUUUCAUGUUCUUAUUUGUUUUCUAUAAUGCCUCAUAACAUAUAUAGCUCUGUGAGUCUGUUCUUUCAGAAGAUCUUAUCUCUUGUUAGUUUUCAAGGAUUUCCAGGUUCACAGCAGCUGACUUUUUACUACACAUUUUAUGACUCUAAAACCAUUAGAAGAACAUCAAUGCUUCCCUAAAUUGGUUUUUUGGAGAAAAUGUAAUAUGUUUGAUGAAUUCAAAUAAAAAGAUGGAAACAUAACAGCAUAUUGGAUUACUUGUUAAUUUUUCUUUCUCAAAUGUUUUAUAUUGAAAGGAAUUGAUUUGUGGAGUACAUUUUCAAACCAAUUUCACCUUCGUUUCUAGAAAAACUACAUUUUGUCCUAGAAAGCUAUCGACAUUUCAUCAGAGGAAAUAGAUUCAGAAUUGCUGCCCAGUAAAAUCUUUUUUAGCGAUAGUUCUCUAUCUUUCACCAAAGACAAUGCAAUUGACCUUGGGUUGGAGGAUAAAAAGCUGCCAUUAUCAAGUGACAGAAUAACUGGUUGUCUUCCUCUGCUAGGUUUUUGGCAUCACAGAGUUCUCUGAGUCAAGCUUUCACAUAGAGAAAUAACUAAUCCAAUAACUAUAACAACUUAAAUUAUACAAUUACUUUAUCUUUGUCAAUUUAAACUGGUGAGUUUAUCAAAAACAAAAACGGAACUUCAAACACAUUUAGAGAUCAUAAGCAUAAGUGAAAUAAGACUUAAAGGUAUCUUACCAUCUAAAAUCAUCACAAGUCAAUUUCAUAUACCUUAAGAUGUUUAUCUCUGUGCCCUGCCUCAUUUCAGAACAGGAGGCCAGAAUCCAUUCAAAUUAAAAUAGUUUCAAAUAGCAAUUCAAAAACAAACCCAUUAAUUGUCUCUUUCCAAAUGAUUA